CAUGCCCGCUCUCAGGCUUCUCUCUGAAAAGAACAAACCUAAAAUCAGAAAACGAACAGACCUAGUAGAAGUGUCGGCGUGGCCACUCUCAGAAAUUAAUAAUGGCUUUGACAUGGAAUGAAAAAUAUGAGCUUAUUACCAGAAAUUUGGCAGAAUGGUUGGGAGAUGAGAAACUAAAGAGUAUUCUAAAAGAACGUGACCUCAAACUAUAUUGGGGUACAGCUACAACUGGUAAACCUCAUAUUGGCUAUUUUGCACCUAUGUCCAAAAUAGCAGAUUUUUUACGAGGAGGAGCAGAAGUGAUAAUUCUCUUUGCUGACCUCCAUGCAUAUUUAGAUAAUAUGAAAGCACCAUGGGAGCUUUUAGAACUUCGUACUCAAUAUUAUGAAGCUGUAAUUAAAGCAAUGUUAAAAUCUAUUAAUGUUCCACUAGACAAUUUAAAGUUUGUCAAAGGAACAGACUAUCAGUUGACCAAGGAAUAUACAUUAGAUGUAUAUCGCCUAAGCUCGAUAAUAACGGAGCAUGAUGCAAAAAAGGCAGGAGCUGAAGUUGUCAAACAGGUUGCAAAUCCUUUGCUAUCUGGUCUUCUUUAUCCAGGGUUACAAGCACUCGAUGAGCAACACUUACAAGUAGAUGCUCAAUUUGGUGGCAUUGAUCAGAGAAAGAUCUUUACUUUUGCAGAGAAAUAUCUGCCCAUGUUGGGAUAUGAUAAACGUGUCCAUCUAAUGAAUCCAAUGAUUCCAGGUUUAGCAGGAGCAAAAAUGUCCUCAUCUGAGGAAGACUCAAAGAUCGAUUUAUUGGAUAACGCUGCAGCAAUAAAAAAGAAAUUAAAGAAGGCAUUUUGUGAGCCUGGCAAUAUUACAGAUAAUGGUGUUUUAGCGUUUUCCAAACAUGUUAUAUUUCCGCUAUUUAGAGAUGAUGAAGUUUUCAACAUACCAAGAACUGCAGAAUUUGGUGGUAAUAUAUCCUUUACUAAGUAUGAGGACUUGGAGACUGCUUUUGCAAAACAGGAGAUACAUCCUGGUGACUUAAAAAAUGCUGUAGAAAUAUACAUCAAUAAACUUCUAGAUCCAAUCCGCAAAGAAUUUGAGACACACUCAAAAUUGAAGACUUUGGCAAACAAAGCGUACCCUCUACCAAAAAAACAAAAAACUACAGAAGUGGAAAUUACUCCUGUAAGACUGGAUAUUCGAGUAGGGAAAAUAAUUGAAGUGAAAAAGCAUCCUGACGCGGAUUCACUCUAUGUAGAAAAAAUAGAUUUAGCGGAACCGAGUGGUCCACGUACCAUAGUCAGCGGCUUAGUUAAUUAUGUACCUUUGAAUGAGAUGGAGAACAGAAUGGUAGUGGUCCUUGCCAAUCUAAAACCAGCAAGUCUCAGAGGAAUCUUAUCACAUGGUAUGGUGCUCUGUGCUUCAGUGUAGGUCGAAAAUCGAAGAAUAUUUGACUUGUGUUUUAUCGUUUGCUCAGAUACUCGAUAAUUUUAAAGCUAUUCAACAAUAAAGUUUGAAGUUUAGUUAGUACAAUGCAGAUUGUUGAAAUUUAUCAACGCAGGAACAGUGGGUUAAGUACAAGCAAGAUAGGAUUAGUAUACUUUUAUUUAGUACACAAUGAUAUUAUCAAAAAGGAACACAAUACACUUGAACUCGGUCUUCACAGUAUAUAGAUUAACCUAACUCUAUAUAAGAAGCCGCCACUUCCUCGAGCAUACGCUCACGAUGACUAACUAACUGACUAAAGACUUGCUUCUCCUCCUACCACACGCGCGCCACGCAUAUGUCCGCUGACACAUUAGUGCAAACGUCACAAAGCGCGCUAGACAAAAAUUCAAAUUCAAACCACAAGAUUCCUUCGGUCUAAGCACUUUGUUGGUUUGGCAACUACUUGCAACUUAGUACAGAUCGUAUAAAACCGCUCCUUUGGAAGAGCUUUAGUUAAUAUAUCCGCUAAUUGAGAUCUUGUAGGAAUAUACUUAACGACUAUCUCCUUGGCUUCUACUUUCUCUCGUACAUAAUGAAAACGCAAAUCAAUAUGCUUGGUCCGUUUAUGGAACUCUGGGUUCUAUGCCAACCGUAUUGUGCUUUGAUUAUCAACAUUCAAUACUGUCGCUUCCUCACAAGAAUAACCUAAGUCGCUCAAUAAGCCUCUCAACCAUAUUGCCUCUUUGGCUGUCGACACUGCAGCAACAUAUUCCGACUCUGUCAUGCUUAAGGUCACAAGACUUUGUCUCUGU
This 2230-nucleotide unclassified non-coding RNA is filed under the name Harpegnathos saltator (Jerdon's jumping ant). RNAcentral's name for it is "tyrosine--tRNA ligase, cytoplasmic, transcript variant X1". The record is from RNAcentral. Lineage: Eukaryota; Metazoa; Arthropoda; Insecta; Hymenoptera; Formicidae.